RNAcentral lists this ribosomal RNA (466 nucleotides) under uncultured Anaerolineaceae bacterium. Its description in RNAcentral is "bacterial SSU rRNA". It matches the Rfam family "Bacterial small subunit ribosomal RNA", at positions 901 to 1382 of the family's 1533-position model. The record is from RNAcentral. Lineage: Bacteria; Bacillati; Chloroflexota; Anaerolineae; Anaerolineales; Anaerolineaceae.
UUAAAGGAAUUGACGGGACCCGCACAAGCAGCGGAGCGUGUGGUUUAAUUCGUUGCUACACGAAGAACCUUACCUGGGUUUGACAUAUAGGUUGUAGGGAACUGAAAGGGACCGACCCUUCGGGGAGCCUAUACAGGUGUUGCAUGGCUGUCGUCAGCUCGUGUCGUGAGAUGUUCGGUUAAGUCCGCUAACGAGCGCAACCCUCGUCGUAUGUUAUAUGUGUCAUACGAGACUGCCGGUAAAAAGCCGGAGGAAGGUGAGGAUGAUGUCAAGUCAGCAUGACCUUUAUAUCCAGGGCUACACACACGCUACAAUGGUCUGUACAAUGGGUAGCCAAGCCGCGAGGCGGAGCCAAUCCUGAAAGCAGGCCUCAGUUCAGAUUGCAGUCUGCAACUCGACUGCAUGAAGCCGGAGUUGCUAGUAACCGCAGGUCAGCAAUACUGCGGUGAAUACGUUCCCGGGUCUU